This 609-nucleotide small RNA is filed under the name Pongo abelii (Sumatran orangutan). Its description in RNAcentral is "processed transcript". The record is from RNAcentral. Lineage: Eukaryota; Metazoa; Chordata; Mammalia; Primates; Hominidae.
GAGGUAUGGGAUCUAAUUCUUAUAACCCCAGUACUUAAAACUGUCUCUGGCCUAUAAAAGUACUCAGAAUAUGUUUGUUAUAUGAGACAUUACCUUAAGAUUAAAAGUCAUCUGUGAUGAUUCGUUUAUUUUUAGGUAAGCUCUUAUUAGUUAAGGUGUACACUUGGAAAUACAUAUUUUAAAUUUAAUAUUUUUAAAAAAGUAUUUUCUGUUAGACCAUAGAAAUGAUUGAGAAAGAGCAGAGAGAAGUGGAACGACGGCCAAUCACCAAAAUAACUCAUAAAGGUGAAAUAGAAAUUGAGAGUGAUGCCCCAAUGAAAGAACAGGAAGCAGCCAUGGAGAUUCAGGAACCAGCCGCCAAUAAGUCAUUGGAGAAGCCAGAAGGAUAUGAAAAACAAAAAGAGGAGGUUGACUCUAUGUCUAAAGAUACCACUAGUCAACACAGACAGCAUCUUUUUGAUCUCAACUGCAAAAUCUGCAUAGGUCGAAUGGCACCACCUGUAGAUGAUCUUUCUCCAAAAAAAGUAAAAGUUGUUGUAGGAGUAGCUCGCAAACAUUCAGACAAUGAAGCAGAAAGUAUAGCAGAUGCAUUGUCUUCAACUUCAAAUA